UACGGAGGAUCCGAGCGUUAUCCGGAUUUAUUGGGUUUAAAGGGAGCGUAGGUGGAUUGUUAAGUCAGUUGUGAAAGUUUGCGGCUCAACCGUAAAAUUGCAGUUGAAACUGGCAGUCUUGAGUACAGUAGAGGUGGGCGGAAUUCGUGGUGUAGCGGUGAAAUGCGUAGAUAUUAGGAGGAACACCAGUGGCGAAGGCGGCCUGCUGGGCUUUUACUGACGCUGAGGCUCGAAAGUGUGGGGAGCAAACAGG
RNAcentral lists this ribosomal RNA (253 nucleotides) under uncultured Bacteroides sp. Its description in RNAcentral is "partial 16S ribosomal RNA". It matches the Rfam family "Bacterial small subunit ribosomal RNA", at positions 524 to 776 of the family's 1533-position model. Lineage: Bacteria; Pseudomonadati; Bacteroidota; Bacteroidia; Bacteroidales; Bacteroidaceae. The record is from RNAcentral.